AGCUCCAAUAGCGUAUAUUUAAGUUGUUGCAGUUAAAAAGCUCGUAGUUGGAUUUUGGGUCGGGGGCACCGGUCCGCCGUUCCGGUGUGCACUGGUGGCCCCUUCCUUUCUGCCGGGGACGUGCGUCGCACUUAAUUGGGUGGCGUUCGGAGUCGGCGUUGUUACUUUGAAAAAAUUAGAGUGUUCAAAGCAAGCCAUCGCUCUGAAUACAUUAGCAUGGAAUAACAUGAUAGGACUCUGGUCUUAUUUUGUUGGUUUCCGAGACUGGAGUAAUGAUUAAGAGGGACAGUCGGGGGCAUCCGUAUUUCAUUGUCAGAGGUGAAAUUCUUGGAUUUAUGAAAGACGAACUUCUGCGAAAGCAUUUGCCAAGGAUGUUUUCAU
RNAcentral lists this ribosomal RNA (381 nucleotides) under uncultured eukaryote. RNAcentral describes it as "SSU rRNA". It matches the Rfam family "Eukaryotic small subunit ribosomal RNA", at positions 587 to 973 of the family's 1831-position model. The record is from RNAcentral.